Non-coding RNA from Camellia sinensis, 3210 nucleotides. NCBI's taxonomy places the organism in Eukaryota, Viridiplantae, Streptophyta, Magnoliopsida, Ericales, Theaceae. The record is from RefSeq and is a predicted model, not a curated record.
CCUCAAUCUGUGUACAAUAAACCUAGUUUAAACCCAGAUAAACAAUCAAACCUUGAAGCCUCAGGUUUGGUUGCAUGUGAGAGAGAGAGAGAGAGAGAGAGAGAGAUCGACCUUGUUAGGGAAGGUGAGAGAACAAUCGGAACAUCGAACAACUCUUUCCCAACAAAACAAAAUUAAAAAAUACACAUACAAUAGAAUUAAGCAAAAUCUCAUAAGUUAUUGGCAAAAGCGGCACCAAACAUUCUAACACAAAUUUUCUAAAAAAACAAAGAAUGCUCUAAGGUUGAGAAUUUAACUAGAUAAAAAAAAAAAACAUUACCACUUUUUGAAUCAAAACAACCAUUUACCCCAAUCAAAACAUUACUAUUUACCCCAAUCUAUCAAAAACAGAAUCAUUAUACUAUUUUUUGAAUCAGAACAACCAUGAAACAAACUCAAAAAUAUCACCAGUCAAGGAUUCUUCAAAAUUAAGUGAAAUUAAGGUUUUAGUUCACUUAGAAUCAAUAAAUUCUAUUCAUUAGCAAUCAAUCAUUUAGUAGCAGUUAAGGAUUCUUCAAAAUUAUAAUUUUGCAUGAUUUAUGUGUUUUUAUGUAUUUUGAGUAUUUGAACUCAAAUUAUAGUAAAUAAUACAUUUUAAUUAUUUUUUUUUAUAUUUUAUAUAAAAUAAAUACUAACAAAAACAAAAACAAAAACAAAAACAUAAUUUGUUCCCAAGAAAGUGAGGCAACGGUGGCGGUGGCGGUGGCGGUGAUGGACAACAAAACACACUUUGUGCCCAAAAGCCACAACAGGCCAAAAAAAAUAAAAAAAACUCCACCCCCACCCACCCAUCCAUCCUUUCUGGCUCACCUCACUUUUUCAAAUUUCAAAUUUUAAAACACAUACUCUCUCUCUCUCCCCUCAAAACACGCUUUGCUACCCCAAGAAGAAGAGGCCAAAUCUAUAAAGGCCAAAAAAAUAAAAUAAAAUAAAACAAAAUAAAGAAUUCUUACGAAUGGUUCAGUUUAAUUUAUAGCAAAUUUUUUAUGUUAAAUUUUGGAUAUUAAAACUUAUAACGUUAUAAUUUAGAUUUAUGCAGGCAAGUCUUAGUUAAUUAUGUGGUCCUUUUUAAUUAUAUAAGUGAUGGGAAUUAUCUUAAGUCCAUCUAAAAUAUUAUGUACUUUAAUCUCAAUUGAUUAAAUUAUGUUCCAUCCGUAAUCACCUAAUAUUGUUAUUAAACUCAAUUGAUUAAAUUAUUAAAUUUCAUUCUUUUUAAACUCAAAUGAUUAAAUUAUGUUUCAUCCAUAAUUACCUAAUAUUGUAAUUAUGAAAGGAUUACAAAUAUUUAGUGUGUAUCACCAAACAAAAUGUAUGUUUAUAAUGAGAAUAUCUACACAGAACUCAAUUAAAAAUAACAACCCCGCCUAACCUUAAUACAAAUUAAGAAAUAAACAUAUAAAAUUUAUAAUAUUCACCAAAAAAAAAAAAAACAGUCAUCUAUUUUACUUCACCAAUAAAAUAGUCAAAUAAAAAUAAAUAAAUAAAAAACAUAUAAGAGAAAUAUUGUUAUGCAAUUAUAAGAAAAGCCUUGCCUACUACCCUCCAGUGCUCUAUUCUUUUACACCCAAAAAGACCAAUCCAAGAAAAGCCAUAUUCGGCCGAGAAAUCCAAUUCAAAAAAUAAAUUAAAAAAAUUAAAUUUUUUUUUGAGAGAUCUUAAAAAGGCAAGUCAUGUUUCCACCUUUCUCUCUCUCGAAUCAUGACACAGUAAUAUGCAACAAAAACCUAUUUUCUUUAUAGCUUUUCCACUACUAAUGAAGACCAACCCUUCCUUGCUUUUGUUGUUUUUCGAAUGUUGUAGAUAAAAAUAAAAUAAAAAAAAAAAAAUUGAUUGAAGAGCUAUUAGGAGGUUGUGCUGGACUAAUAUGAGGAGAGAGAAAAAUCUCCAUUGUCAGUUUUAUAGAGGGUUCCUCCCUUUCUCCUUUCUCCAUCUCCUUCCUCCUCCGCCGCCACCACUCUGGCGAGCUCUUCAGCCUCGGCGUUGCAACAUCAUUUUCCGAAGAUGGAGAUCAACAGUAAAUUUUUAAUUGUAAACAAUAUAUUCAAUAGAAAUCAAAACUCUCCAAAACCGAAACUAAAGAGUUGGGAGUAAAAUGGAGCUAAAGAGAGAGAGAUGGAGAAGGUUUGUGUGACAAUCUGAGGAAGAGAGUUUAAAAUCAAGGAGGGAGAGAGAGAGAGAGAGAGAGAGAGAGAGAGAGAAAAGAGUAUUUGGGCGGGAAUCAAGUGUUUGGUACAUUUGAAAGGAUUGAUCUUAACCUAAUCAUCCUGCCAUAUUAUAUAGAUUUACCUUUGCCAUUGUCACUAUGUCAGGCACAAUGCCUUGGGUCUCAAAUCCCCCAAAAUGGCUCCUAGUGUGAGCAAACCCAGAUUGAACCUCAUCGGCAAUACAAAGCCCUCAUGCUUUCUUAAUAUUGCUAUAUACAGCAUGGAAGUAACCUGGGGUCAAUUCAAUAAUUCCACCCACUCCCUGCCAUUUUAGAGAGUAGUUCAAAUUAGACAGUAACUCGGAAAAGGUUGUAUUAAUAGGAAAAUGAUAUUCUCACACGUAGAGGAUUUAAGACAAAAAUAAUGUGGCAAUGACACUCUUGCAAUUAUGAACCAUAGUGAUGGGCAUUUGACUAUCAAUGCAGGGAUAUAAAUGCGACACAUCAUUUUGCAUAAUUUUUUGUGUGUUAAAUCUUGUGUGUACAUCAUUACCCUAAUCAAUAUAGCCACAAAAAGAAACAAUAAAAACAAAUUUACAUAGACGAUGCUUACCUGUAUGGCUUUAGAAAUAAAACCAGCUACAUGUCCUGAAGUUCCAAAGGUAAUGAGAUCUUCAACAUCUCUUGCAUACUUCUCCCCGUUUGAACCAAAGACUCCUCUGUAUAGAUCUGGGUUGAGGGCAUGGUGAACUCCGCUCUGUUGACCAAUCCAAAAAGAAUACCAGGAUUAGGGAACUGGAUUAUAUUUAAUAAUAAUUUGGUUGCAUUGCAUUUGUGAAUGCUAAUUUAUGAUUACUUGGUUCUUUAGUUAAGGAUAAAUGCAGUAUAAGGUAAGAUUGGAAGCUUCACAAAAUAAUUAUUCUUCAAUAUGUUUAGUAUCUUCAGCAAUAUCAACUGUAAAGUGUAAAUGUUAACAUAAAGCUACCAAUGGUAAAAUAAGAAAGUAAACAACACAACAAUCAUGGCCA